Molecule: ribosomal RNA, 508 nt
Filed under: uncultured Glomeraceae
Lineage: Eukaryota; Fungi; Glomeromycota; Glomeromycetes; Glomerales; Glomeraceae
Description: SSU rRNA
Rfam family: Eukaryotic small subunit ribosomal RNA
Source: RNAcentral
AGCAGCCGCGGUAAUUCCAGCUCCAAUAGCGUAUAUUAAAGUUGUUGCAGUUAAAAAGCUCGUAGUUGAAUUUCGGGGUCAGUAGGUUGGUCGUGCCACUGGUACGUACUGGUCUCACUGAUUCCUCCUUCCUGAUGAACCGUAAUGCCAUUAAUUUGGUGUUGCGGGGAGACUGGACUGUUACUUUGAAAAAAUUAGAGUGUUUAAAGCAGGCUAACGCUUGAAUACAUUAGCAUGGAAUAAUGAAAUAGGACGUUCGAUCCUAUUUUGUUGGUUUCUAGGAUUGACGUAAUGAUUAAUAGGGAUAGUUGGGGGCAUUAGUAUUCAAUUGUCAGAGGUGAAAUUCUUGGGUUUAUUGAAGACUAACUACUGCGAAAGCAUUUGCCAAGGAUGUUUUCAUUAAUCAAGAACGAAAGUUAGGGGAUCGAAGACGAUCAGAUACCGUCGUAGUCUUAACCAUAAACUAUGCCGACUAGGGAUCGGAUGAUGUUAAUUUUUUAAUGACUCA